RNAcentral lists this ribosomal RNA (470 nucleotides) under uncultured Streptomyces sp. Its description in RNAcentral is "bacterial SSU rRNA". It matches the Rfam family "Bacterial small subunit ribosomal RNA", at positions 39 to 525 of the family's 1533-position model. The record is from RNAcentral. Lineage: Bacteria; Bacillati; Actinomycetota; Actinomycetes; Kitasatosporales; Streptomycetaceae.
CGGGGGGGGUUUAACCAUGCAAGUCGAACGAUGAACUCCUUCGGGGGUGGAUUAGUGGCGAACGGGUGAGUACCAUGCGGGCAAUCUGCCCUUCACUCUGGGACAAGCCCUGGAAACGGGGUCUAAUACCGGAUAACACCGGCUUCCGCAUGGGAGCUGGUUGAAAGCUCCGGCGGUGAAGGAUGAGCCCGCGGCCUAUCAGCUUGUUGGUGGGGUGAUGGCCUACCAAGGCGACGACGGGUAGCCGGCCUGAGAGGGCGACCGGCCACACUGGGACUGAGACACGGCCCAGACUCCUACGGGAGGCAGCAGUGGGGAAUAUUGCACAAUGGGCGAAAGCCUGAUGCAGCGACGCCGCGUGAGGGAUGACGGCCUUCGGGUUGUAAACCUCUUUCAGCAGGGAAGAAGCGAAAGUGACGGUACCUGCAGAAGAAGCGCCGGCCAACUACGUGCCAGCAGCCGCGGUAAUA